AGCCCUGUGGCUCAGUUGGUAGAGCAUGGUGAUUGCAACGCCAGCUUGGUGUGUGCAACGCCAGGGUUGUGGGUUCGAUUCCCACGAGGGGCCA
This 94-nucleotide transfer RNA is filed under the name Salmo salar (Atlantic salmon). It matches the Rfam family "tRNA". Rfam says of the family: Transfer RNA (tRNA) molecules are approximately 80 nucleotides in length. Their secondary structure includes four short double-helical elements and three loops (D, anti-codon, and T loops). The record is from Rfam by way of RNAcentral. Lineage: Eukaryota; Metazoa; Chordata; Actinopteri; Salmoniformes; Salmonidae.